Molecule: ribosomal RNA, 114 nt
Filed under: Anolis carolinensis (green anole)
Lineage: Eukaryota; Metazoa; Chordata; Lepidosauria; Squamata; Anolidae
Source: RNAcentral
GCCUAAGGUCUCUAUUAAGAUACCAGAUUCCAUCUGAUAUUGGAAGCUAAACAGGGUCAGUCCUGGUUAGUUCUUGGCUGGGUGACUACAAACGAAUACUAGGUACUAUAGGCU